This 527-nucleotide long non-coding RNA is filed under the name Brassica napus (rape). Its description in RNAcentral is "long non-coding RNA (BNAP_LNC026067)". Lineage: Eukaryota; Viridiplantae; Streptophyta; Magnoliopsida; Brassicales; Brassicaceae. The record is from RNAcentral.
GAUAUAAAAAUAUCAACAUAUGACUUCGUCGUUCAUUCUUAUAUCAAAUUCAUCAACCUAUGUAAUAUCCAAAGUCCCAUAAAUCACAUUAUAGACAAAAAAAACAAUAAAAUCCCGUAAACAAAACUAUACAAUGCACCUAUAAUGUAGUCGAUCCUGCGCUUGCGCGGAGACUAUGCACCUGGUAGAAGUAAUAAGACAGAAAACGCGUGCAACAGCCGGAGAUUUCGGAUUCGGUCGUAUCCUUUUCAUUUGUCUCAGCCAUUAAUUCCCAAAACCAUAUCUUCUCUUCCUCAUCCAUCCUUUUCGCUACUUGAAUAUAAACUACAUAAAAAUUCAAUCGUUUUAUGUAUGGACGUAUGAUCACGCUAUUACCUUUACAUUUUUGAUAAUAAAACCUUUGAAGAUCUAAAUCCAAAUUCUUUUUGGUCAAACGGAAAUUCUGAGCAUUAUACUUCUAUUAGAUGUGCCCACUAUAUUUUUUCUAUUUGUAUAGGCACAUUUGGUUUAAACUAGGAGAUAUCCCG